GAGUACUUUCCAGAACCUCUCUUGCCAGUGUCCUUGUCCCUUGGUGAGCCACAGCUGCCCCCCGCCUCUGCGGGAGACUCUCCAACACUAGCAGGAGCUGCACUUGGAUAAAAUGCUGUCUCCUGAAGCUCUGAACAUCACUUCUCUGGAUAUUGUGCUGCUCCAGGUGUAUGUGUGUGCUUUGCACCCCCCUGGAAGAGUCAGCAUCAGUGGUUGGUCUCCUCACAUCUGUGGAUGAAGAACUUGUCUUUUACAUCAUCUGCACUUUAUUAUGUCAUGCGAUAAGAGUGAAGCCAAAGUUUUGGAUGAAGAGCAGCCAAAAGUUUCUUAAAAGCUGAGAACAAGUUAUGUUCCGAAUGCCUGACUUUCUGAAAUGAAUAUCAAAAAUAGCCACUAUGUACAUUACUCUGGAACUGCAUUCCUUUCAUUGUGAGAACUUGUGUUUUUGGAAAGGAGUGUUGCUAAGUUAAAAAUGGUGUUUGAAUCUAGCCUCCUACAUAAAUUAGCAGAGCUGGCCUCUCACAGUAUGGUGGGUAUCACACAGGCUCUAAGAUCGUGCACUCUCUGAC
Physeter macrocephalus (sperm whale) is the source of this 569-nucleotide long non-coding RNA. RefSeq lists it as uncharacterized. The transcript has 3 exons. The record is from RefSeq and is a predicted model, not a curated record. NCBI's taxonomy places the organism in Eukaryota, Metazoa, Chordata, Mammalia, Artiodactyla, Physeteridae.